GGCAAAAUGAGGGUUCAACUGUCUCUUAUAAUACAUCAAUUAAACUGAUCUUCUAGUACAAAAGCUAGAAUACUAACAUAAGACCAGAAGACCCUGUGAAGCUUUAACUAAACUAUUAAACCACUUAAUAACUACUUUCGGUUGGGGCGACCUUGGAAUAAAAAAGAACUUCCAAAUAUCAACAUUACAUUAAAGGCAGACAAGCCCACAUAAGACCCAGCAUAGCUGACAAUUGAACCAAGUUACUCCAGGGAUAACAGCGCUAUCUUCUUCAAGAGCCCAUAUCAAAAAGAAGGUUUACGACCUCGAUGUUGGAUCAGGACAUCCUAGCAAUGCAACCGUUACUAAGGGUUCGUUUGUUCAACGAUUAAUAGUCCUACGUGA
This 384-nucleotide ribosomal RNA is filed under the name Azemiops feae. Its description in RNAcentral is "partial 16S ribosomal RNA". It matches the Rfam family "Bacterial large subunit ribosomal RNA", at positions 1998 to 2603 of the family's 2925-position model. The record is from RNAcentral. Lineage: Eukaryota; Metazoa; Chordata; Lepidosauria; Squamata; Viperidae.